RNAcentral lists this ribosomal RNA (466 nucleotides) under uncultured bacterium. Its description in RNAcentral is "partial 16S ribosomal RNA". It matches the Rfam family "Bacterial small subunit ribosomal RNA", at positions 29 to 506 of the family's 1533-position model. The record is from RNAcentral.
ACGAACGCUGGCGGCGCGCCUAACACAUGCAAGUCGAACGGAGCUGAGAGAAGCUUGCUUUUCUUAGCUUAGUGGCGAACGGGUGAGUAACGCGUGAGUAACCUGCCCUGGAGUGGGGGACAACAGUUGGAAACGACUGCUAAUACCGCAUAAGCCCACGAUCCGGCAUCGGAUUGAGGGAAAAGGAUUUAUUCGCUUCAGGAUGGACUCGCGUCCAAUUAGCUAGUUGGUGAGGUAACGGCCCACCAAGGCGACGAUUGGUAGCCGGACUGAGAGGUUGAACGGCCACAUUGGGACUGAGACACGGCCCAGACUCCUACGGGAGGCAGCAGUGGGGGAUAUUGCACAAUGGGGGAAACCCUGAUGCAGCGACGCCGCGUGGAGGAAGAAGGUUUUCGGAUUGUAAACUCCUGUCGUUAGGGACGAUAAUGACGGUACCUAACAAGAAAACACCGGCUAACUACGU